CCUACGGGUGGCUGCAGUGGGGAAUAUUGGACAAUGGGGGGAACCCUGAUCCAGCCAUACCGCGUGUGUGAAGAAGGCCCUCGGGUUGUAAAGCACUUUCAGUGAGGAAGAACGCCUGGUGGUUAAUACCCAUCAGGAAAGACAUCACUCACAGAAGAAGCACCGGCUAACUCCGUGCCAGCAGCCGCGGUAAUACGGAGGGUGCGAGCGUUAAUCGGAAUUACUGGGCGUAAAGCGCGCGUAGGUGGCUUGAUAAGCCGGUUGUGAAAGCCCCGGGCUCAACCUGGGAACGGCAUCCGGAACUGUCAAGCUAGAGUGCAGGAGAGGAAGGUAGAAUUCCCGGUGUAGCGGUGAAAUGCGUAGAGAUCGGGAGGAAUACCAGUGGCGAAGGCGGCCUUCUGGACUGACACUGACACUGAGGUGCGAAAGCGUGGGUAGCAAACAGGAUUAGAUACCCCAGUAGUC
RNAcentral lists this ribosomal RNA (465 nucleotides) under Vreelandella stevensii. Its description in RNAcentral is "partial 16S ribosomal RNA". It matches the Rfam family "Bacterial small subunit ribosomal RNA", at positions 338 to 795 of the family's 1533-position model. Lineage: Bacteria; Pseudomonadati; Pseudomonadota; Gammaproteobacteria; Oceanospirillales; Halomonadaceae. The record is from RNAcentral.